UUACUAAAUACACUAUGUAUUUACUUUCACGAAAGGUGGUGAGUUAAAUAUAAUUAAUAUAGUUAUUACUUGUUACGUAGUAUAGUGACAUGAUAAUUUUAUUUUGCAGUGAUAGGCCUGUCAAGCUACUUGAUAACUUGUUGUGUAAGAAAUAUAUUGAGUAUUAAGGCAUACUAUUAAAGUUAAGCUUUAUAGUUAAUAUAAAUAUUAAAAGUUAUUUGAAGCUAUAGCUUAACCGCUAAGCUAUUGGAGAAAAAAAUACAAAUAAUAUAUACUUAUAUUUACUAUUACACUGUACUAUGUUACGCACAAUAUAAAUAGUGUAAGUAUAAGUAAUAUAAUUAAAUAUAACAAAGGAACUCGGCAAAACAGCUGCUCAACUGUUUAUCAAAAACAUAACUAUAUGUAAUAAUAUAUAGCUUUUCUGCUCAAUGGUAUACUAAAUAGCCGCAGUACUCUGACUGUGCAAAGGUAGCAUAAUCAGUUGGCUUUUAAUUAAAGUCUGGGAUGAAUGAAAGCAUGGGUGGUGACUGUCUUACUGUUGUAUUCUAUUGAAUUUAGUAAGCAAGUGAAAAUACUUGCAGGUUUAAAAAAGACGAGAAGACCCUAGAAACUUGUAUAGUUAUUUUGUUGGGGCGACAGAAUUACAUAAAACUAAUUUUAUUGUACAUGACGCAUGCAGACAGAUUAAGUUACUCUAGGGAUAACAGCAUAAUUUUUACAGUUUGUGACCUCGAUGUUGGACUAGGUAAAUAAUUUUUUAGACGAAAAUUUAAACGCUCUGUUCGAGCAAUAGAACCUACAUGAUCUGAGUU
Molecule: ribosomal RNA, 815 nt
Filed under: Otala occulta
Lineage: Eukaryota; Metazoa; Mollusca; Gastropoda; Stylommatophora; Helicidae
Description: partial large subunit ribosomal RNA
Source: RNAcentral